UUUCCCUUCUCCAACAGCAUCUCUGGUUUUGUGAUGCUGUAUGGAUUCUUGAGCCAGUACCAACUGGUGCUGACUUCAGUUUAACACACCCCAGGCUAGGGUGUCUGCGAUAGCUCGGAAGUAGACAUGCACCCCAGUCACUCAUCCUUGGAUAGGGGAGAUGUAACCUUGGCUGAGUCCACCAAGGUUGGAAGAUUUCUUGAAAGAUUGAGCUUGCCAUGCUUAGAUUGGAGCCAGGCUUGCUGCUGCAGUUUGUGCUGCUAACAUCACACGUAUUUGGAGGAAAUGGCUCUUGAAGUUAAAUGAGGCUGGAUAAGACACAUAAAUGAAGCAGAAGCUGCUCUGCAUGUGUUAGGGCUAUAUCACCACAAGCACUGCUGAUCAGCC
Molecule: long non-coding RNA, 387 nt
Filed under: Manacus vitellinus (golden-collared manakin)
Lineage: Eukaryota; Metazoa; Chordata; Aves; Passeriformes; Pipridae
Description: lncRNA (ENSMVIG00005008858.1)
Source: RNAcentral